Molecule: ribosomal RNA, 255 nt
Filed under: uncultured bacterium
Lineage: Bacteria
Description: partial 16S ribosomal RNA
Rfam family: Bacterial small subunit ribosomal RNA
Source: RNAcentral
CGUAGGGUGCAAGCGUUAUCCGGAAUUAUUGGGCGUAAAGGGCUCGUAGGCGGUUCGUCGCGUCCGGUGUGAAAGUCCAUCGCUUAACGGUGGAUCUGCGCCGGGUACGGGCGGGCUGGAGUGCGGUAGGGGAGACUGGAAUUCCGGUCGUAACGGUGGAAUGUGUAGAUAUCGGGAAGGAACACCAAUGGCGGAAGGCAGGUCUCUGGGCCGUUACUGACGCUGAGGAGCGAAGCGUGGGGAGCGAACAGGAUU